UACGUAGGGUGCGAGCGUUAAUCGGAAUUACUGGGCGUAAAGCGUGCGCAGGCGGUUUUGUAAGCCCGAUGUGAAAGCCCCGGGCUUAACCUGGGAAUGGCAUUUGGGACUGCAAGGCUUGAGUGCGGCAGAGGAGACUGGAAUUCCUGGUGUAGCAGUGAAAUGCGUAGAUAUCGGGAGGAACACCGGUGGCGAAGGCGGCAUCCUGGACCGACACUGACGCUCAGGCGCGAAAGCUAGGGGAGCAAACGGG
RNAcentral lists this ribosomal RNA (253 nucleotides) under uncultured bacterium. RNAcentral describes it as "partial 16S ribosomal RNA". It matches the Rfam family "Bacterial small subunit ribosomal RNA", at positions 524 to 776 of the family's 1533-position model. The record is from RNAcentral.